Molecule: ribosomal RNA, 484 nt
Filed under: uncultured bacterium
Lineage: Bacteria
Description: partial 16S ribosomal RNA
Rfam family: Bacterial small subunit ribosomal RNA
Source: RNAcentral
AUUGAACGCUGGCGGCAGGCCUAACACAUGCAAGUCGAGCGGAUGAAGGGAGCUUGCUCCUGGAUUCAGCGGCGGACGGGUGAGUAAUGCCUAGGAAUCUGCCUGGUAGUGGGGGAUAACGUCCGGAAACGGGCGCUAAUACCGCAUACGUCCUGAGGGAGAAAGUGGGGGAUCUUCGGACCUCACGCUAUCAGAUGAGCCUAGGUCGGAUUAGCUAGUUGGUGGGGUAAAGGCCUACCAAGGCGACGAUCCGUAACUGGUCUGAGAGGAUGAUCAGUCACACUGGAACUGAGACACGUUCCAGACUCCUACGGGAGGCAGCAGUGGGUAAUAUUGGACGAUGGGCGAAAGCCUGAUCCAGCCAUGCCGCGUGUGUGAAGAAGGUCUUCGGAUUGUAAAGCACUUUAAGUUGGGAGGAAGGGCAGUAAGUUAAUACCUUGCUGUUUUGACGUUACCAACAGAAUAAGCACCGGCUAACUUCGUG